Molecule: ribosomal RNA, 421 nt
Filed under: uncultured bacterium
Lineage: Bacteria
Description: bacterial SSU rRNA
Rfam family: Bacterial small subunit ribosomal RNA
Source: RNAcentral
GAUGAACGCUGGCGGUAUGCCUAACACAUGCAAGUCGUACGAGAGUUUUUAACUCUAGUGGCGGACGGGUGAGUAACACGUGAGAAUUUGCCUUUAGGAGGGGGAUAACAAUUGGAAACGAAUGCUAAUACCCCAUAUGCUUUUGAGUGAAAUGGAUUUUAUCCGCCUAGAGAGAAGCUCGCGGCUGAUUAGCUUGUUGGUAAGGUAAGAGCUUACCAAGGCGACGAUCAGUAUCUGGUUUGAGAGGACGAUCAGCCACACUGGGACUGAGACACGGCCCAGACUCCUACGGGAGGCAGCAGUGGGGAAUUUUGGACAAUGGGGGAAACCCUGAUCCAGCAAUGCCGCGUGAGUGAAGAAGGCCUCGGUUGUAAGCUCUUUGUCUAGGGAAGGAAACGAACCCGGACGUCUAACACAGUCC